This 1522-nucleotide ribosomal RNA is filed under the name uncultured Acidobacterium sp. Its description in RNAcentral is "bacterial SSU rRNA". It matches the Rfam family "Bacterial small subunit ribosomal RNA". The record is from RNAcentral. Lineage: Bacteria; Pseudomonadati; Acidobacteriota; Terriglobia; Terriglobales; Acidobacteriaceae.
AUUAGAGUUUGAUUAUGGCUCAGAAUCAACGCUGGCGGCGUGCCUAACACAUGCAAGUCGAACGCGAAAGGGGCUUCGGUCCUGAGUAGAGUGGCGGACGGGUGAGUAACACGUGGAUGACCUGCCCUCGAGUGGGGGAUAACUCUUCGAAAGGGGAGCUAAGACCGCAUGAGCUCCCGGGGGCGACUCUGGGAGGAAAGCCUUAGGGUGCUGGAGGAGGGGUCCGCGACCGAUUAGCUGGUUGGUGGGGUAAGGGCCUACCAAGGCGACGAUCGGUAGCCGGUCUGAGAGGACGGACGGCCACACUGGAACUGAGAGACGGUCCAGACUCCUACGGGGGGCAGCAGUGGGGAAUUUUGCGCAAUGGGCGCAAGCCUGACGCAGCAACGCCGCGUGGAGGAUGAAGGUUUUCGGAUUGUAAACUCCUGUCCCGGGGGAAGAAGGCAGUGACGGUACCCUGGGAGGAAGCCCCGGCUAACUCCGUGCCAGCAGCCGCGGUAAUACGGGGGGGGCGAGCGUUGUUCGGAAUAACUGGGCGUAAAGGGCGCGUAGGCGGCCUGGGCAGUCCUGGGUGAAAGCCCCCGGCUCAACCGGGGAAGGGCCUGGGAAACCACUGGGCUGGAGUGCUGGAGAGGGAGGCGGAAUUCCUGGUGUAGCGGUGAAAUGCGUAGAGAUCAGGAGGAACAUCGGCGGCGAAGGCGGCCUUCUGGACAGACACUGACGCUGAGGCGCGAAAGCCGGGGGAGCAAACAGGAUUAGAUACCCUGGUAGUCCCGGCUGUAAACGAUGGUGACUUGGUGUGGGGGGUGACAAAGUCCCUCCGUGCCGGCGACAACUCGUUAAGUCACCCGCCUGGGGAGUACGGCCGCAAGGCUGAAACUCAAAGGAAUUGACGGGGGCCCGCACAAGCGGUGGAGUAUGUGGUUUAAUUCGACGCAACGCGAAGAACCUUACCGGGGUUGGAACUGCACUCGCAGGUUUCGGAGACGGGACGGUCCCUUCGGGGACGGGUGCGGAGGUGCUGCAUGGCUGUCGUCAGCUCGUGUCGUGAGAUGUUGGGUUAAGUCCCGCAACGAGCGCAACCCUUGUCCCCAGUUGCCAGCAGGUAAAGCUGGGCACCCUGGGGAGACUGUCGGCGAAAAGCCGGAGGAAGGUGGGGAUGACGUCAAGUCCUCAUGGCCUUUAUGCCCCGGGCUACACACGUACUACAAUGGGAGGUACAAAGGGCGGCCAGCCCGCGAGGGGGCGCGAAUCCCAAAAAACCUCCCUCAGUUCGGAUUGCAGUCUGCAACUCGACUGCAUGAAGGUGGAAUCGCUAGUAAUCGCAGAUCAGCAGGCUGCGGUGAAUACGUUCCCGGGCCUUGUACACACCGCCCGUCACAUCACGAAAGUGGGCUGUACUAGAAGUCGCCGGGCCAACCCUUCGGGGAGGCAGGCGCCGACGGUAUGGUUCAUGAUUGGGGUGAAGUCGUAACAAGGUAGCUGUAGGAGAACCUGUGGCUGGAUCACCUCCUUUAUGAAU